GAUGAACGCUGGCGGCGUGCCUAAUACAUGCAAGUCGAGCGAAUGGAUUAAGAGCUUGCUCUUAUGAAGUUAGCGGCGGACGGGUGAGUAACACGUGGGUAACCUGCCCAUAAGACUGGGAUAACUCCGGGAAACCGGGGCUAAUACCGGAUAACAUUUUGAACAGCAUGGUUCGAAAUUGAAAGGCGGCUUCGGCUGUCACUUAUGGAUGGACCCGCGUCGCAUUAGCUAGUUGGUGGGGUAACGGCUCACCAAGGCAACGAUGCGUAGCCGACCUGAGAGGGUGAUCGGCCACACUGGGACUGAGACACGGCCCAGACUCCUACGGGAGGCAGCAGUAGGGAAUCUUCCGCAAUGGACGAAAGUCUGACGGAGCAACGCCGCGUGAGUGAUGAAGGCUUUCGGGUCGUAAAACUCUGUUGUUAGGGAAGAACAAGUGCUAGUUGAAUAAGCUGACACCUUGACGGUACCUAACCAGAAAGCCACGGCUAACUACGUGCCAGCAGCCGCGGUAA
Molecule: ribosomal RNA, 515 nt
Filed under: uncultured bacterium
Lineage: Bacteria
Description: partial 16S ribosomal RNA
Rfam family: Bacterial small subunit ribosomal RNA
Source: RNAcentral